This is a long non-coding RNA of Neoarius graeffei (lesser salmon catfish), 919 nucleotides long. RefSeq lists it as uncharacterized. The record is from RefSeq and is a predicted model, not a curated record. The transcript has 2 exons. Lineage: Eukaryota; Metazoa; Chordata; Actinopteri; Siluriformes; Ariidae.
UCCCUAGUGUAAGGGGUACGAGUUUACCAGUCACUGGAUCUUCAGGGAUUCCGACCCACGGUGCAAAGUUACGGGAGUAAAAGUCAUAUCCUGGCUGUGACGUUGGUGCUCCUUUCACUGUGAUGAUAAGGCUCUUGAUCCUUCCGCUGUCUUCACUUUUCAGCAGAGACUCGGUCAUCGGACUCAGGGAAGUGAGCAUGGACCUUUAACCAAAUGAUGAUGAUUAUAAUCGUUCAUAAUGAAGUCUGGAUAUUUUUGGAAAUAGAGUUGCCUACUUUUUGAAGAACAAAUAUGUAAUUUGCAAACUGUGCAUCAGAACUGUGUUGAUUUAAAUAAUAUGCAGUUUUCAUGGCCAAAUAGUGUCGUCAUCAUCAUAAUUUAAUGUGAAUUUUUAACUAGAUUCCACUACAUGAUGUAUUAAAGUGAACAGAAUAAUCUUGUACAUAGUUCUCUUUUCAUUGUUUAUUAGAGUCUCCUGUACCUGUCGCAUGUAUCAAGCAAACGCACUAGCAGUUUCUUUGUUGUCUUACAGUAACACACCUCUUGAAUAGGCAAAUCUCCCACAGCAGCCUGUGAAGUUAGGAAAAUAGCUGUGGGAAUCUAGACUGUAUUUUCAGGUUUUUUGGAAACCCUGGAUUCUGGAUCCUGAGCUGGAUCGAUUCUCUCCCUGACGAGAGGGAUGGCGAGCCACCUGUGAUGAACCCCUGGACUUUGGGAAGCCUUUGAGUUAUUCGUCUGCCUGCGGUCAGCGUGGUAGGAUUGAGGAAAGGAUUUCCGGAGACAACUGAACUGAAUGGACAUUUAUAUUUUUGGGGAAAUAUUUUAUUUUGGUGCACCAGAAAUUACAUUCAUUGUCUGAUUGUUGAUGUUGUGAAAUGUUGGAAAUUCAUGUUAAUACAAUUAUCUUGUUAUAAUCUAA